UGGGGAAUAUUGGACAAUGGGCGAAAGCCUGAUCCAGCAAUGCCGCGUGAGUGAUGAAGGCCUUAGGGUUGUAAAGCUCUUUUACCCGAGAUGAUAAUGACAGUAUCGGGAGAAUAAGCUCCGGCUAACUCCGUGCCAGCAGCCGCGGUAAUACGGAGGGAGCUAGCGUUGUUCGGAAUUACUGGGCGUAAAGCGCACGUAGGCGGCCAUUCAAGUCAGAGGUGAAAGCCCAGGGCUCAACCCUGGAAUUGCCUUUGAAACUAGAUGGCUUGAAUCCAGGAGAGGUGAGUGGAAUUCCGAGUGUAGAGGUGAAAUUCGUAGAUAUUCGGAAGAACACCAGUGGCGAAGGCGGCUCACUGGACUGGUAUUGACGCUGAGGUGCGAAAGCGUGGGGAGCAAACA
This 402-nucleotide ribosomal RNA is filed under the name uncultured Sphingobium sp. RNAcentral describes it as "bacterial SSU rRNA". It matches the Rfam family "Bacterial small subunit ribosomal RNA", at positions 355 to 774 of the family's 1533-position model. Lineage: Bacteria; Pseudomonadati; Pseudomonadota; Alphaproteobacteria; Sphingomonadales; Sphingobiaceae. The record is from RNAcentral.